CCCUCUCUCUCUGCCCUUAACCCACUCACUCUGUCUCUCCCUCUCAAAAAUAAACAUUUAAAAAUAUGUAAAGUAUAGACAAAAGUAUGAUGUUACAGCAAGUAUAUGUUUUGUAAAUUUUUCUGUAUAUAUUGGAACUUUUUACAUUCUGUAAAAAUGUCACAAAGGAUUUAUAUCCAUCUAGAAUUUCAGAAUUGCAUAUGCUUAAUUAAAAAUCAAAAUUCACUUGUACUUAUAACUUUGCCUAAAAUGCAAUUUAAAAUUAUUUUGCUGAAUACUAGAAUGGCCUAACUUAGAAAAACACAUUGGAAUAUUUAUUAAACACAGGAAAUGUUUUUUUUCAGCAUUGCCUUAAAAUGUUAUUUCAUAUUAGUUUUUUAUUGAGCUUCUCUUAUUGGGAGAAUGAACUAUUUCUUUUAAACUCAGCAAAUGCAUGAAUCCUGUAGGCUACUUACCAUAUUAUGCUUUAUGAAUAGUUUUUCACAGUUAAAUAAUGUUUAACCUAAGCCUUAAUGUUUCUGCUCAUGUAAAAUAAGUGUUUUGGUUUGUAAGGAUCUCAGGUGUUCAGAAUUGAGUCAGUCAUUGAUCAUACUCUUUAUUAACAACACCAGUAUCAUUGAUCUAGGAAGGGUACACUUUUGUUCUGUUUUAUUUCACCUUUUUUUCUUCCUCUCCUACCUGCAAUUCCAUACUUCUUACUCCCUACUAUAUUUAAUGUUUAUCCUUCCAAGCCAUUGUCCAAAUUUGGGGUAUAUUUCCUUGAAAAACUAUAUAUGUGUUUUAACUAUAUAUUUACUAUGUGUUCUUUAUAAAUGAUAGUGUGGUAUGAAUCUCAUUUUGCUUCUUUCAUAAAAUAUUGGGUUUUAUGACCUAUUCAUGUUACCUUUCUAUAAUGUGCUUCUGACUGGUGCAUAAUAUUCUACUGCAUCCACAUGCCACAGCUGAUCUUUUCCUCUAGUCACAGAUACUUAAGCUGUUCUCAGCUGUGCCUCUUUCUACAAACUUGUACAUGUCUUCCUAUGAAAUUGCCCUGUAGUCUUUAUGGGGUAUAUGCCCUAGAGUAGAAUGCCUUGGGUUGGGGGUAUAUGCAUAUUUAAUUUCAGUUAAGUAAUGCUGAACUGUUCUCAGGAAUGGUUGCACCAUUUUACACUUGGACCAUUCAAGACAUGAGGGUUACAUUUUAUCUACAUCUUCAGCACCACUUGAUAUAUAUGAUUUUUUUGUGUAUCUGAUAUAUGUGAAACUUUUUUUGUCUUAAUCUGCAUUGUCUGAUGACUAAUAAGGAUAGGCAUAUGCUUUUUAGUCAUUCUAGUUUUCUGUUCUUUGGAGAAUACUAUAUUGUACUUAUAAUUUGCCCUUUUUUCUAUUAGGUUUUUUACUUUCUCGCUGAUGAUAUAGUACAAGAAAUAUUCUAUAGCUUCUAGACAUGUUAUUGUCAGGUUCAGACAUUGGAAAUAACUUAGUCUUGUCAUUUGUUAAUUCUUGUCUUUGGUGUCCUUCAUGGAAUAGAAAUCUUUGAUUUUCCCAAUUGUGCUUUUUAGGUCUUGUUCUUCUCAGUUUUAUAGUUUUACCAUAUACAUUUAGCUCUUUAGUUUAAUUGGAAUUUAUUUUUGGAUAUAGUAUGUGGUAUUAAUCUAGCUUUUUUUCCAGCUAGUCAUAAAAGGGAGUGGGUUAUCAAAACCCCUUCUCUCUAGGUAGUGGGGAAAUGAUUUUGUUUUUACCUCCUCCUUAGCACAAUUUCCUUGGAUAUCUGUUAAAUUAAGAUAAAUAUGGAAUGCCAGCUGCUUACCCAGCAACAUUUUUGUAUUGUACCAAAAACAAAAAACACAGGCUUUGAGAAUUCUCUGAGUAAGGGAAGACUGUAACUGAGCUUGUUCCUCAUUGCAGAGACCUGGAACCUACCAUCAGGGAUUUUUACAAGAUAGUGGUUCCUGUGGCACGUGAGGCUUGCCUAAGGAGAAUGCCCUCCUCUAUAUGAUCUAUUUACUGUGGUAUAUCCUGCCAAGCUAAGUAGCCUUUGUGCUGAGCUAUUACAUUUUUUUCUUCAGGUUUUUCUUGUUUUUUUGUUUUUUCUUUUUAAUUUUUUGCUGCAGAAAGCUUUAUGGGUGAGCCUUGCGAAGAGAUACUCCCCCAGCAGCCUGGGGGCCAUCCCCCCUGCAGGGGUGAGUCAUGGUCGCCCGUCUUCUUGAUCCCCUUCUCAUCUUGGUCCUCCAGGAAGUCACAGAGAUGGGGGGCUGCGUGGGCGGAACCCAGGGCACACAGAGCCAAAAGGGCCUGGUUCAGGUUCUCCAGAGCUGGGGUGGCUUGUGUGGUGUCCAGGGUUUUAUUACACUCAUCCUGGAACAGCUUCUGCCUGAUCCUGGUCCUGGAAGAGGUGCAGCUGCCUGGCUGAUUUGGCAUCUUCUGGGGACACUCAGCACCCUCACACUUCUCGGCCAACAUGUGGAAGUGGCCCAGGCCCUCCAGAUCCCCAUUGUCACUGUAGGUGUUGCUUUCCGCAACCCUCGGGCCAAGGAGUGACAACUAAGAAAGAGCCAAGGAAUGACAAGAAAGACGCAGACACAAUAAAGACACAGACACACAAGAAACUUUAUGCAGCAUCUCCUCUCCAGUCAAACUGGGCUUAUUUAUUGUCUCAACUACCCAUCCUCUCAGUUCCGGUUCCCAGGGGCCUGUUGCCAAGUUCCUGCUCCGUAUCAGCAAGUAACCCUAUGCUUGGAAGUAGUCUUGUUUGCACGUAGGCUCCCUUGGCUUUUCAUUUGUUACUCUGUCAGCACCCUGGCUCUUUUGCAAGCACGGAUGUCCCAGAGCAGAAGAUAUCUCACCGCCAGGGACAGUCAACCCAAAACAGGCCCACAGUUAGAGACGGUCAGCCUGGGACAGGCCCUUCAGUCAGAAUAGAAGCCCAGAGAGAGGUAGGUGUAGGAGGCCUGCAGAUACGUGUUGACCGGGCAGUUGAUGCCCCCUCCACCUUAGUGAAAUAAUUCUGAGGAACCCAGGAAGCUCACGGUUGAUAGGUAAUAAUAAGCUAAGCUCAAAUUAGGAUGUUGGCCAGUCACAGAGCCAGAGGAUGCCCGACAAGAUGGCUCCGAAGGUUGUGACUGGAAAAAAGGUUGGAGGGUGGUCGGGAGGCUGGUAGCACGGGCGUCCCUGCUUCUGUCCGUCUAGACACUGUUGAAGCAAGAGACAGAUCCACGGGGACCGCCAGGUGCGUUUCCUCUUCUUUAGGUUUGAAAGCUAUACGUUUCUAUUUUUUUCUUGUUGUGGUUACUUCUAACCCCUAAUUAUGUUUAUUUUUCUCUACCAGUGUUUAAAGUUUUCAACAUUGAAGUCUUAUAAGCAGACAAGAAUGUUGGCAUGCUAUCAUCCUCCUUGCUUUCUCCUCCAGACACUGCUCCCUGUGGGUCCCUUGCCCCUAUUCCUUCACCAAUGUUGGUAUCACUUGAAGUUUUAGUCUAGAUUCUUAUGGUUAAUUUUUCAUACUUAAUAUUCACCUAGUUGAAGAAAUAACUUAUUUGAAGUUAACUAUUUUUCCUUCCUAUAUGUUUUAUACAUUCACAUAUUUUUAACUAUGAAACGAGUAAAAUCUCAUGGUUUUUUAAAAAAAUCAAAUUGUGAUUUAAAAAAAAAGGGACGUAGUUUCUGCCUCACUCCAGAUUCCCAGAAGCUUUUUUGCAUUUAGCUUUUUUGCUACUCUGUUUUUACCGUAUUUCUAAAUAAUGUGCUCAUCCUGUAUUUCUUACCAAUUUUAGAGGUUCUCUCCUCCCCAAUCCCCAUGGAGAAUUUGACUGCCUCACACUACUAUCCCACAUUUCCUCUGCAGCCAUUUCAGAUUCAGAGAUAGACAUUUUGUGUCAAGAUUGGCAAACAGCCAUGCCUGUUCUGGAGCACCCACCUUUAGUGUAAUUUGAGAGAGAAAUAAACUUUUAUUGUGUUUAAGCCACUA
This is a long non-coding RNA of Suricata suricatta (meerkat), 3946 nucleotides long. RefSeq lists it as uncharacterized. Lineage: Eukaryota; Metazoa; Chordata; Mammalia; Carnivora; Herpestidae. The transcript has 2 exons. The record is from RefSeq and is a predicted model, not a curated record.